This is a non-coding RNA of Megalopta genalis, 1328 nucleotides long. The record is from RefSeq and is a predicted model, not a curated record. Lineage: Eukaryota; Metazoa; Arthropoda; Insecta; Hymenoptera; Halictidae.
GUCAACCAAUCAGAGAAACGAAGUGUCUAUACCCACACUCAUAUUUCUGGGCGCUUUGCCUCCGUCAUCGCUCAUUUCAGCUCAGUAUUCCGAGAUACUACUGUAAAUUCACUAUCUGGCAACACUGUUUAGCUCGCAAAACAGUGUCAGGGUAUUGGAGAAGACAAGAAGUGCUUCGGUUGCGCGGGUAGAACCUGGAUCGUUGAGUUUGCAGAGCGAACGAGGAGAAAAAUGGCGAUGGCAACAACUCAAGUUAAGGGAAGUGGAUGGCCGAGGAGAGCAAGUAACAGUUCGUUUGAAGGGAAAGUGCUACAGAACCAGUCUAGUUAAUGUUUUGACUGCCUCUCCUGUAGAACACAACUAUGGCCGGUUAAGAGACGCUAGCAAUUAAAAUUAUGUUCCUAACACCUUUCAAUGCAUCUUACAUGGUACAACCAUGAGACGGCUGUUCACCUUUUUGUUAAGUAACUAUGGAAAUUUUAAGCAGCGGUCGACUUGAUUAUAUCCAAUGCUAAUUCAAUUUAACGAUUUACCUUCACGCGCCAUAACACGACAUAACCAACUGUUUUAUUAUAUUAAAAAUUUUGAUUAGUAUGUGUGCUUAUAUUUUCGUAUCAUUAUUUUUUAAAUAUCGCAAUACCAUUUAUUGAACGAGAACUAUUAACGUUUGCUUAAAAUUUCCAAAAAUAGAUUAAAAUUAUACCCUCUGUGCUCCAUUUACAUGGGGUAUAUUAUAUUUGAACUAUACUAAGUUCUGAUUACUAAGAAACUGAAGAAAAUUUCAUUUCUAUUAUAACAUUACAUUUUUUUGUACGUACCCAUUACUAAUGAAUUUAUAAAAGUAGUAGCCAUUGUGUACCAGGUACAUUGGCCUCUUUUAUACAUUAAAUGUAUAUUUGCGUACAAAAUACUUUUUGUUAUUUCUCAUGAUCAUCGUGAUAGAUGUUAAACAGUGACUGUUAUUUUGUAAUGCGUACCUGAAUUGUCACUGUUCAUUACUUUUACUUCUGUAAUAUAAAUUACUUUGAUGCCCUGUGUAAAAGAAAAAAUGUACAAAAUAAUGAUCCAAAUCAUAUUGUUGCGUUCUAAGAAUUAUGCAACCUGUAAUUCUUCCAAUGAAACCUGUCUGUAUUUUUUUUAUUCAUAAAUUGGCUACAUGCAGUUUAUGUAAAGUGAAACUUCCAUUAUAAAAUACUUUGUACUUACGCUAUUAUGAAUGUAUUUGUUUCAUUCCAUGAUUAUGUCUGUUUCUUAAUCUAAGAAAUCAUAUAAUGCACAUAAAUGUUUGAGAAUGUUUUAAACUUCUUAUGAAAUGAAAGUUUGUUGUU